GUCGCCUCGGGGAGUGAUUCGUUCAGUCGCGCAUGCGCAACAUCCUAUUAGGUUCUGUACUGGAAUUAGUUCACCUGUUUUAGAGUCGUUCGUUCACCUUAUGGGGCUGUCACGUGAUGAACGAACGACUCAAACCCGAAGACUCAAAAGAUGAACUAAUCAAUUCUCCUUCCGGCUCAGACUGCAUAGGUUAACAUUACGGGGAUGUCACGUGAUGAACGAACGACUCAAACCCGAAGACUCAAAA
Molecule: long non-coding RNA, 247 nt
Organism: Labeo rohita (rohu)
Lineage: Eukaryota; Metazoa; Chordata; Actinopteri; Cypriniformes; Cyprinidae
Exons: 2
Source: RefSeq, a predicted model, not a curated record